GCCAGCCUCCAGUGUAAGCAAAGCCAUGUGCUGUAUCCUCACUAUCUGCACUCAUCUGUGUAAGUCUACAGCAAGCAUCCCCCCCAUCCUGGUGGCAGAUGGUCUCAAGAUGAUCUCAGAUUCCUCCCUUCUAAUUGCAGAAAAAGCUACCUGAAUCUUUCAAAGGAAAUUUUGAAAGAGGAACUCUGCUGACCUUAUCUGCAUCUUGCUUGCUUAUUUUCCACUACAAGGCUGAACAGUACCAGAUCUCUCAGCCUUUCCUCAUAUAGAAGACACUCCAGGCCCCAGUCACCCUUGCAGCCCUCUCUUGGACAUUCUCUAGUAGUUCUAUCUCUCUUGAACUGGGGAGACCAGGACACAGUAUUCUAAACGUGGCCUCGCCUGAGCAGAGUGGAGGGGGAAUAUUACCUUCCAGGACCUCCUGGCUAUGCUCUUCUUCAUGAACCCCAGGAUGUCACUGGCCUUCUCGACCACAAGGGCACACUGCUGGCUCAUGGACAACCUGCUGUCCUCCAGGCCACCUCAGUCCUUCUCUGCAAAGCUCCUUUCCAGCCAGUCAUCCCAUAACCUGUACUGAUGCAUGCAGUUAUUCCUACCCAGGUGCAGGACUCUACACUUGCUAUCAGCUAUGGAGGAGAAAAGAAUAAGUAUGAGAAUAACACUGUUUUUCAGAAAAAUCUUCAGAGGAAAAAAUCACAUCAGGAUCUUUUGUGCUUCAUUAGUACCAAUAAAUGCAAACUCACUGAUAAGAAACCAAAAUCAAGUAUCAUUCCUAAGUGCUAACAAAAUUGGAUGUUAAUGACAUAUUAGCAUUGUAAUUAGUAAAUUGGAUAUUUAUGCUCAUUAUCUAUCAUUCAAUUUGCAAACAAUAAUUUGAAUAGCUUUAAAACACAACGUUAUCAGGAAAAGUCCCAUAUGAAAUGUAAUUUUUGUAAUUAAUUUGUUACUGAGUUUCCCCAUAAUGCAUUAAGAUUUACUUUCAGAGCUCCUAAGCUGAUGCUUUGAAAACUUGUCCCUCAUGUUUACAUUGAUACUUUGUUCUGUAACAAAAAUUUCAGACUGUUCUCCCCACAUAAACCACAAUCCCUGCAUGUCUUCUGAUGAGCAGGAGAAAUAGCCUCUCCAGGACUUCCAUUCUUUGUUAUCUCUGUUGAGAUCAACACAAUCAUAUUUAUAGGCGGGAAAUAAAAUUGCACUGUUCCAGAAACCAGGCCUCUUACUGUUAUUAGAAGCUUCUCAUAUACCUCUAGCAUUUCAGCUUAUUAUAUAAAGUUCCUGGUAGUCACAAAUUAUAAUGACUACAAUGCUGAAAACUCUUAGAACCUGACACUAUUGAAAGUCUCAAUCUGCUGGUCACCUGUUUGAGUGAAACAGUACUCCAUGAUAACUGCAGCUACUACAAAAUAACACUGAUAGUCAGCAUAAAUAAAUUCAACUACCAGGCCUUGAACAAGUCACCUUUACUAAUGAGUCUUAGCAGAAGGUGAGUUAUGUAUUUAUUAUGUUCAUUUUCUUGGAAAGCUCUUUGCAAGUGGCCUUUUAACAGCCAUUUGUAAUUCUUGUUAUUCUGCAUAUCUCCUGCUAUUUGUGAUUCACACCAGUUAUUCAGACACAUUCAGUCAUCCUUCUAUUAGUGAACAGUUCUUGACUGAUGAGCCCUGGUGUGAAUGCACACAAGCUGCUGUGGAACUAAUGUUUGCUUUUUCCAUCGUAUCUUAACUAAUUAGCUGUCUACUUAAUGAAUGACAGUAAUACCUGAUGUUAUAGGUGACUAGUCACAUAACACAAUAAGAAAAUGAGAAGCACUUCAUUAACUACCAGCUGGAAAACUAACAGAAAAUAGAUAGAUAUCAGGAUGGACUCUUCUGCUAUGACAAGUAAUGCAACUGCUACUGAAGAUUACAAGGGCUGCUCUGAAAGUUAUGCAUCCUGUUUUAUUAUGGCAGUCCACAACAUCAGAGGCAGAUAUUGGUGGCAUGGCAGUCGGGAAAGUUGGGAAGGUUGAAUCUUCCCAACAGUAUUUCAUUAUGUUCUGUUGUCGUGUGACAGAUGGCAGUGGAGGGGCAGUCUGAUGAAUGGCAUCUGGCAGGGAAGUGCAUAUGAUGCAAAGAUAUGCCAUUUAAUUCCUCUGUGUGGAAAAAUUUGCACUCACUGACAUUCAUCAAUGUAUGCUGAACGUUUAUGGAGACCAAAUGGUGGAUGUAAGAAAAGUGUGGUGCAUUCAACAGUAGUGACACUGAUGUGAAAGGUAAGCCAUGUUUUAUAUGGCCGUACACAGCUGUCACAUCACACAACUGACAUGCUGAUUGAGCACCUCAAUCAGAUCAUCUGUGUGAACUGGCAGAUUAUGACCAGGGAACUGUGUACAGAGCUGAAUAUUGGCCUCACUGAAAACAACGGUUGAAUUGUUGGGAUACUGCAAAGUUUGUGCCAGGUAGGUCCCACAAAUACUCACACAGGAGUAGAAAGAGCACCGUAUGCAAGUUUGUCAGGACCUACUGAACCAACAUGAGGCUGAAAGUGACUUGUUUCCUGGAUCACAUCAUUAACAGUGACAGGAUGUGGAGUCAUCACUCUAAGCCAGAGUCAAAACAGCAGUCCAUGGAGUGGUGACAAGGGAAUUCCGCAUUGAAGAAAAAGUUCAAGGCACAGCCCUCAGCAAGUAAAGUGUCUUUUGGGAUAGGAAAGGCAUGAUCCUUCUGGAUUUCCUGGAACCCAGACAAAUCAUCAACUCUGACCACGACAUCACAAUGCUUACUAAGCUGAAGGUUUGAACUUACAGGGUCAGGACAGUGAAGAAGACAACCUUGCUCUUGCAACAUAAUAACACUAGGCCUCAUACCAGUUUGAAGACCAUGGAGCACACAGCCAAUCUUGGCUGGACUGUCCUACCACAUGCAUAUAAUAUUCCAGAUUUGGCACCUUCUGAUUUCCAUCUGUCCAGGCUGAAGAAAGAAGGACUGCAUGGGAAACAUUAUCCUAGCAACGAUGCCAUCAUAGCAGCCAUUCAACAGUGGGUCACCUCCACUGGUGCAGAUUUUUACAAGCACAGCAUGUAAGGUCUAGGUCAACAGAUAUGGGGCAGUUUUCUGCCCCAGUAGAGUUUCAGUGACUCCAAAGCUCCUUGGAAUGCAUGCCCAGUUGGUAAAUUAUCUUGUCUAUAAGAUGUGUAUCAUAUCAAAUCCAGUACUUCUGGCUUAACACAUCCUAGCAAGAGGAUAACCUCUCUAGGACAUUUAUUCUUUGUCUUUUCUAUUGAGAUCAACACAGCCAUAUUUAGAGGUGAACACUAAUCCAUUAAUUAUUUUAAACCACAUUAAGCUACAGUCAGACCAAUGAUUAUUUACCCCAGCAUCCUAUCUCUGACGAUGACAAGAGGAAGCCCAAGCAAACCUGGUCACCUCCUGUUAAGUUCUCUCUCUGGCUUCCUCGGCAUCCAGAAUUGUAGGAGGGAUGUUGGUGGGCACAUCCUUGUCAAGUCCAGUUAGCAUCUGUGCAGGGAAUUGCAGUCCAUGAAUUUCUCUAAUCCCAUUUUGAAUCUAAUGGUACUGUCUGCUCCCAUGCCUGCCUGUGGCACCUGCUUUUGAAAGUUCAUUAUCCACUGUACAAAGAAAUGAACUUUCUUUUAUCAGCUUUAUGCCAAGCUACUUGUUUUAACUAGAAAUUUCAGGUUUUAGCUCUCCUGUUGCAGAAUUCAAUGAACAACAGUUCCACACACACAUAAAUCCACUGCCUUCAUGACUUUGAAAACCUCAUUUCUCUCUCCCUUCUCCUCUCCAAACUGAAGUCACGACCUCUUCUGCCUUUGUAUCUUGUCCAACUCCAUUCUGUCUUUCAUGAGAUGCAGAGAUAUACAGUGUUCAAGAACUGUCAGGCUUAGUUUUUGCAUAGCUGAAAAGCCCUCAGUCCUGCUCUUAGGACCUUGUUGAUGCCCUGCACAGUGUAGAACUCUCAAAAUUAAAAAAAAGUAUCCUUUAAAAUUAGAACAUAUCUUACAAUACAAUAAUGCAAUCCUGCCUUCCACAACAUAGCUGAAAUGCAGAUAUCUGGGACUGAGCUAUGUGUUUCAUUCACAUUUCUCUAGGCAACUUAAAACAGACAGAUUACAGAAGAGGUAUACUAAAGAAUUACUAUGCCUCUUUCCUUUUCCCCCACAGUAUAACCACUGUAGGAGCAUCCAAGCUGCUUGUGUGAGAGCUGCCGAGCAGGCAGGUUAUAACCUCAAGAACUCAAGAGUUCAGAGUUACCGGCUUUGAACUGUGUUGUUUACACUCCUGUGAGGUCAUUAUUUGAUGAUUCAGAUAUAUGGAAAGAGGUUUUGUCUAAACUGCUGUCAAACUUCAGGCAUAUCAUUAUACUUAUUUCAAACACAUAUAAUUUGAUCUUCUUUACCAAGAGGUCUCUUUCCAUAUGUGCCCAGAGCAGAACAACUGCUGCUCUGCCCUUCUCUUUCUUGUAUUUGCCCAGAUUGAAGGUUUUACAGUCUCUAUUCUCAACUGCCUGUAAAAUUUAUGUUGAGAGAGGGAGAAACCUUUUACUGAAGCCCUUGGUAGGUUACACUUUCCUUAUCACACAGCCACCAAUGACAUUUCUAACAACAAUCUCCACAGCAACUCUGAAAUGCAAACCAGUAAAUAAGAAAUAAAAAAAAAAAAAAGCAGAGAGGUUAAAGAUUUUUUCUUGGUAAAGGACAAAGGUGAAGUGAAGGGUUUGGACAAGACAAGGUAAAAUCUAACUGAAAUGUACUACAAAAGAACUUUAUGCUUUACAAAUGCCUUAUUUUGGGAUUGCUGUCAUAACCGUGGCUUGGGAUGCAACAAUAAACAAGAGGAAAAAGGUUCCCAAUCUACAUAGCUGUCAGCAUCUUAGACACAAUUUCAUUUUCCCUGGUUUUGAAACACAUAUUCAACCCUUUCAAGAAAUUGGAAACAGCAUUUUGUUAGCCACUGCACUCUCUUCUCUUUACCAUAAUUAAACCCAAGCAUUUGACAAAGAACAGAUCACCUUAAUGAUGUUACUUAGGAGACCUCACUGGCUCAACCUUGGGGCAACACAUUCCAUCAUGACCUAAGAAACCUCUGCCCCAAAGCAAGAUAAAGUAGAUCCAGGUGUUUGCCAACAGAUCUCUUACUUGUUCUUACAGAUGUCUGGUGGCAAAAAAUUACAAUCACCUUAAGAACUCUGAAAUAAAGAUAAGCAUCAAGAAAGCAAUGUUUACUUACACAGGUCCAGUACAAGGCAUGGUAUCCACAGUACCAGCCUCACAAGACUGCCACAAAGCAAAAGUAUCAAGUUUACAUGAUAACCACAAAGGAAAAACCCAUGGAACAUUUUAUUUCUGCAGUAAAUUGCAGCCAAUUGCUCCCUAACAAGCUCACUUGGAAGGCUACAGGUCUGGUUUUCUACAAACACAAUCUUCAAGCAUCUCUUAUAAAUGUAUUAAUUCCUUUUAAAAAUGGCACUAAAAUGCUUUGAACUGACAAGAUUAGGCACAGAUUUCAUUAAAGCAGGACUGUAGAUAGUGAAUACUGUUCAUAGUACGGUAGAUCCUUGUUAAAUUUAAGUCAGAAAAUUUUCAAGGCAAAACCCAAUGUUCUCUACAUCACACACCAGGACAAGCUGCCACCUGUUUAACACCUCGAGGUGCUACUGCAACACAAACAUUCUUCUACGUAUUUGCAACUAUAAAUGCAACACUUGUACACAAUUUGUGAGAAACUGUUAAAAUUAAUCUGUGAGUUAAACCUAAACAGCCCAGGCACACACAGACUUAAGAUAUUUCAGAAAUUGGGAACUCCUGCACCAGACAGAAAUGCCUAAUGGGACCCAAACUCUCCCAUGGAUAGGAUUCUGCAGAUUUGAUGGAGAACGAAAGUUUGUCUAAAGCAGGAAUUGAGCUUAUUUUCAUUCAUUUUCAUCCUGAGCUUUGUUUUCAUGUUGUUUUGCAUCUUUGAAUCCGAUUCGAUGAUCACAGAACUGUUUUCUUACUCAGGGAAAGCUGCAAUACUUACACGGAAAUCUGAAGCCAUCAUCUUCAUGCCACUGGCAUGUCAAUGAAGGUCUAGAACACAAGUGAUUUGCUCACUCUUUUGGUGACCAGCUGAAUCAAUGCCUUUCCAAGAUGACAUAUUUACAAGCCUGUAUAUGCGAUACUUUCAGCCUACAACCUUUCUAAAAUAUUACUUAUAACUAUUUACUGAGAGAUUAAGUUAUGAUCAAAUUCUUAGGCAAAA
This is a long non-coding RNA of Gallus gallus (chicken), 6233 nucleotides long. RefSeq lists it as uncharacterized. NCBI's taxonomy places the organism in Eukaryota, Metazoa, Chordata, Aves, Galliformes, Phasianidae. The transcript has 2 exons. The record is from RefSeq and is a predicted model, not a curated record.